AUGUUUAUGCAAUACAUGCUAGCUAGCUUUUUUGGCAGUGCAGAUAGAGAUAGACCAUCGCGUGAAGAUGAUGCGGUAGUUAGUUAAAGCGUGCGGCGCGCGGCGGCGUACCUUGAGCCACCGCCUGACAGUGCUCCGGUAGCCGGUGGCGAAGACGAUGGCGUCGAAAGGGUGGCGGCUGCCGUCCCCGAACUCGACGACGUUCCCGCGGACGCUCUUGACGGCGGCGGGGAGCACCCGGAUCUCGCCGCUCCUGAUCUUGGCGUAGGUGCCGACGUCCACGACGGGGUAGCCCGGGGUGGUGAGCUUCAUGGUGAAGGGCCCGAUGGCGGGGCGGCGGAGGCCGUGCCGGGACGUGUCGCCGAACACCACGGCGCACAUGAGCAGCACCAGCUUGUCUAUGACCCACACGGGCAGGUACGGGUACAGCGUCAUCGCCACGUUCCAGAUCUCCUUGGUCACCAGGUGGAGCUGCAUAUAUGCGUGAUUAUUAGUUACUGCUGAUCGGAUUGCAUCGAUCGUUAGCAGUAGCGGCUGCGCAUCAUGAUUAAUUGAUGGAAAACUUGGCAUCCAUUCCAUUCCUGAUGGAAUCCUAUACUAUAUAACUUCAAACUGCAUUGUUCCCCAUUAAAGAUGGCAAUGUGCCUCCAUCCUCAAUUUCUGGUGGAGAAUUUCU
Long non-coding RNA from Zea mays, 676 nucleotides. RefSeq lists it as uncharacterized. The transcript has a single exon. The record is from RefSeq and is marked validated. NCBI's taxonomy places the organism in Eukaryota, Viridiplantae, Streptophyta, Magnoliopsida, Poales, Poaceae.